RNAcentral lists this ribosomal RNA (497 nucleotides) under uncultured bacterium. Its description in RNAcentral is "partial 16S ribosomal RNA". It matches the Rfam family "Bacterial small subunit ribosomal RNA", at positions 28 to 507 of the family's 1533-position model. The record is from RNAcentral.
GAUGAACGCUGGCGGCGUGCCUAAUACAUGCAAGUCGAGCGAACGGACGAGAAGCUUGCUUUUCUGAUGUUAGCGGCGGACGGGUGAGUAACACGUGGAUAACCUACCUAUAAGACUGGGAUAACUUCGGGAAACCGGAGCUAAUACCGGAUAAUAUUUUGAACCGCAUGGUUCAAAAGUGAAAGACGGUCUUGCUGUCACUUAUAGAUGGAUCCGCGCUGCAUUAGCUAGUUGGUAAGGUAACGGCUUACCAAGGCAACGAUGCAUAGCCGACCUGAGAGGGUGAUCGGCCACACUGGAACUGAGACACGGUCCAGACUCCUACGGGAGGCAGCAGUAGGGAAUCUUCCGCAAUGCGCGAAAGCCUGACGGAGCAACGCCGCGUGAGUGAUGAAGGUCUUCGGAUCGUAAAACUCUGUUAUUAGGGAAGAACAUAUGUGUAAGUAACUGUGCACAUCUUGACGGUACCUAAUCAGAAAGCCACGGCUAACUACGUG